UCAACAUCAUACAUUAUACUUCAUAUCAUCUUCUCUUUCUUCCACCUAAUCAUUCAACAUCU
This 62-nucleotide small RNA is filed under the name Arabidopsis thaliana (thale cress). RNAcentral describes it as "ATSL152500". Lineage: Eukaryota; Viridiplantae; Streptophyta; Magnoliopsida; Brassicales; Brassicaceae. The record is from RNAcentral.